UGAUAUAGUUCAUUUACAAAUUUCGAUUCAAUGGCUGCAGUCGGCAACUACAAUUUGCUGCAAUCUUCGGAUAAACAUCCACAGUGCGUUCGUGUCAGCAAGAUAGACAAAUUAGAAGAAUAAAAACUGAAGCUGAGAAUCGAGAAGGGGCGACUUGCUACGCCGCCAUUUUACUCUAAGUAUCGGUCGAACCUGAUCGCCUCGGCUCAGAUUUCGGCCGUAUCACGGAUUUAAGCUCUAGUUAUUGCUUUGUAAUACACGUGGCUUAAGAGUGAAAACAAAUCUUAACUCGAUUUCUCGUCUGCAUAUUUCUCCCGCUCUUUAACGUUCGCUCUUCUCGUUAUAUCCUACUCGAGGAUAAAAAAUAUAUUGACGUCGUUACGGAUAUAUGCAUACGUGUGGGUAGGUAUAUUUAUAUAAUGUGUAUGUAUAUGUUUAUACGCAUACAAGUGUACUUUUAUACAUGUAUGUAUAUGUGGUUCACACAGUCCCGUAUCUCGUUAUCCUUUUCGUCCCGACGAAACGAACACCCAGAGAGAUUCUCCUAGGUGAAAUAAAUAUCGAACGACACGAGUUCAUCACAGCCCGCAAUUUAGCUUAGACCUAAUUUCGUUCGAGACGUCGUCCAACGAACUUUCGUGCUCGGUUCAGGAUAUAGACCUUAAAAUUGAUCAAGAAUUUCUCGGAGUUACGCGUUUCCUUAAUUACGUGUCCAUAUUUCUGCGUUACGUAUCUACACUCUGCACUUUGUAUUUUUAUUCAUCUUUCUCGAAAUUCUAAAUUAAGUCCAAAUCUUCGACACCAACAGUGUACACUGUAUCCAAAAGAGAUUUUCCGCAGAAUUUUUCUCGAAAUUCUCAGAUUAAUAAAUCCAAAUCUUUGACGUAAUUUAAACAGCGUACACUGUGUCCAAAAGAAAGCGCAAAAUUUUGUACUAUAAUUAAUAUAGUAUACUAUAAUUAAUAUAGUGUACUAUAUCCAAAAGAAAGCGCAAAAUUUAUCGAAAUUCUUAAAUUAACGAUUCCAAAUCUUCGACCAAUAGUUCACU
Frieseomelitta varia is the source of this 1048-nucleotide long non-coding RNA. RefSeq lists it as uncharacterized. The record is from RefSeq and is a predicted model, not a curated record. NCBI's taxonomy places the organism in Eukaryota, Metazoa, Arthropoda, Insecta, Hymenoptera, Apidae. The transcript has 2 exons.